AACGCGACCUCAGCUCAGGCGGGGCUACCCGCUGAGUUUAAGCAUAUCAAUAAGCGGAGGAAAAGAA
Molecule: ribosomal RNA, 67 nt
Filed under: Cynometra ramiflora
Lineage: Eukaryota; Viridiplantae; Streptophyta; Magnoliopsida; Fabales; Fabaceae
Description: partial 26S ribosomal RNA
Rfam family: Eukaryotic large subunit ribosomal RNA
Source: RNAcentral